GCAGUAGCCGCGGUAAUACGUAGGGUGCAAGCGUUAAUCGGAAUUACUGGGCGUAAAGCGUGCGCAGGCGGUUAUAUAAGACAGAUGUGAAAUCCCCGGGCUCAACCUGGGAACUGCAUUUGUGACUGUAUAGCUAGAGUACGGCAGAGGGGGAUGGAAUUCCGCGUGUAGCAGUGAAAUGCGUAGAUAUGCGGAGGAACACCGAUGGCGAAGGCAAUCCCCUGGGCCUGUACUGACGCUCAUGCACGAAAGCGUGGGGAGCAAACAGGAUUAGAUACCCCAGUAGUCCCUGUCUCUUAUAC
This 302-nucleotide ribosomal RNA is filed under the name uncultured bacterium. Its description in RNAcentral is "partial 16S ribosomal RNA". It matches the Rfam family "Bacterial small subunit ribosomal RNA", at positions 508 to 807 of the family's 1533-position model. The record is from RNAcentral.